Molecule: ribosomal RNA, 492 nt
Filed under: uncultured bacterium
Lineage: Bacteria
Description: partial 16S ribosomal RNA
Rfam family: Bacterial small subunit ribosomal RNA
Source: RNAcentral
AGUGAACGCUGGCGGUAGGCCUAACACAUGCAAGUCGAACGGCAGCACAGUAAGAGCUUGCUCUUACGGGUGGCGAGUGGCGGACGGGUGAGGAAUACAUCGGAAUCUACUUUUUCGUGGGGGAUAACGUAGGGAAACUUACGCUAAUACCGCAUACGACCUACGGGUGAAAGCAGGGGAUCUUCGGACCUUGCGCGAUUGAAUGAGCCGAUGUCGGAUUAGCUAGUAGGCGGGGUAAAGGCCCACCAAGGCGACGAUCCGUAGCUGGUCUGAGAGGAUGAUCAGCCACACUGGAACUGAGACACGGUCCAGACUCCUACGGGAGGCAGCAGUGGGUAAUAUUGGACAAUGGGCGCAAGCCUGAUCCAGCCAUACCGCGUGGGUGAAGAAGGCCUUCGGGUUGUAAAGCCCUUUUGUUGGGAAAGAAAAGCAGCAGGUUAAUACCCCGCUGUUCUGACGGUACCCAAAGAAUAAGCACCGGCUAACUUCGUG